This 677-nucleotide ribosomal RNA is filed under the name Rachicladosporium alpinum. RNAcentral describes it as "eukaryotic LSU rRNA". It matches the Rfam family "Eukaryotic large subunit ribosomal RNA", at positions 151 to 851 of the family's 3401-position model. The record is from RNAcentral. Lineage: Eukaryota; Fungi; Ascomycota; Dothideomycetes; Cladosporiales; Cladosporiaceae.
GUAGAGGAUGCUUCUGGGCAGCCCCUGUAAAAAGUUCCUUGGAACAGGACGUCAUAGAGGGUGAGAAUCCCGUAUGCGACCGGAAGGGCACCCUCCACGUAGCUCCUUCGACGAGUCGAGUUGUUUGGGAAUGCAGCUCUAAAUGGGAGGUAAAUUUCUUCUAAAGCUAAAUACUGGCCAGAGACCGAUAGCGCACAAGUAGAGUGAUCGAAAGAUGAAAAGCACUUUGGAAAGAGAGUUAAAAAGCACGUGAAAUUGUUGAAAGGGAAGCGUUUGCAACCAGACUUGCUCGCGGUGUUCCGCCGGUCUUCUGACCGGUUCACUCGCCGCGUUGCAGGCCAGCAUCGUCUGGGGCCGCCGGAUAAGACCUUGGUAAUGUAGCUCCCCCUCGGGGGAGUGUUAUAGACCAUGUUGAUGCGGCGCGUCCCGGGCGAGGUCCGCGCUUCGGCUAGGAUGCUGGCGUAAUGGUUGUAAACGGCCCGUCUUGAAACACGGACCAAGGAGUCUAACAUCUAUGCGAGUGUUCGGGUGUCAAACCCCUACGCGUAAUGAAAGUGAACGGAGGUGGGAACUUUAUUGUGCACCAUCGACCGAUCCUGAUGUCUUCGGAUGGAUUUGAGUAAGAGCAUAGCUGUUGGGACCCGAAAGAUGGUGAACUAUGCCUGAAUAGGGUGAAG